AUUUAAAUAGCUUAUUAUAAAGUGUAAUAUUGAAGAUAUUAAGAAAAUUAGAAUUAAUUUUUAAAUA
RNAcentral lists this transfer RNA (67 nucleotides) under Pheidole pieli. RNAcentral's name for it is "tRNA-Phe". The record is from RNAcentral. Lineage: Eukaryota; Metazoa; Arthropoda; Insecta; Hymenoptera; Formicidae.